UACGUAGGGGGCAAGCGUUGUCCGGAAUCAUUGGGCGUAAAGAGCGUGUAGGCGGCCAGAAAAGUCCGCUGUGAAAACUCGAGGCUCAACUUCGAGCUGUCGGUGGAAACUUUCUGGCUAGAGUCCGGAAGAGGAGAAUGGAAUUCCUGGUGUAGCGGUGAAAUGCGCAGAUAUCAGGAGGAACACCAAUAGCGAAGGCAGCUCGCUGGGACGGUACUGACGCUGAGACGCGAAAGCGUGGGGAGCAAACAGG
This 253-nucleotide ribosomal RNA is filed under the name uncultured bacterium. RNAcentral describes it as "partial 16S ribosomal RNA". It matches the Rfam family "Bacterial small subunit ribosomal RNA", at positions 524 to 776 of the family's 1533-position model. The record is from RNAcentral.